GCCCCCUUGGCCUAAUGGUUAAGGCGCAAGACUUCUAUUAGUGCUGGGAACUAGAAUACCCAGCGUCUCAUAGAGCGUAUCUUGAGAUUGCCAGUUCGAGUCUGGCAGGGGGCU
This 114-nucleotide transfer RNA is filed under the name Trichoderma reesei QM6a. It matches the Rfam family "tRNA". Rfam says of the family: Transfer RNA (tRNA) molecules are approximately 80 nucleotides in length. The record is from Rfam by way of RNAcentral. Lineage: Eukaryota; Fungi; Ascomycota; Sordariomycetes; Hypocreales; Hypocreaceae. RNAcentral also lists the same sequence under 1 other name.